This 500-nucleotide ribosomal RNA is filed under the name uncultured bacterium. Its description in RNAcentral is "partial 16S ribosomal RNA". It matches the Rfam family "Bacterial small subunit ribosomal RNA", at positions 30 to 523 of the family's 1533-position model. The record is from RNAcentral.
AUUGAACGCUGGCGGCAUGCUUUACACAUGCAAGUCGAACGGUAACAGGGUGCUUGCACCGCUGACGAGUGGCGAACGGGUGAGUAAUGCGUCGGAACGUGCCGAGUAGUGGGGGAUAACGCAGCGAAAGUUGUGCUAAUACCGCAUACGUACUGAGGUAGAAAGUGGGGGACCUUCGGGCCUCACGCUAUUCGAGCGGCCGACGUCUGAUUAGCUAGUAGGUGAGGUAAAGGCUCACCUAGGCGACGGUCAGUAGCGGGUAUGAGAGGAGGAUCCGCCACACUGGGAAUGAGACACGGCCCAGACUCCUGCGGGAGGCAGCAGUGGGGAAUUUUGGACAAUGGGCGAAAGCCUGAUCCAGCCAUGCCGCGUGUCUGAAGAAGGCCUUCGGGUUGUAAAGGACUUUUGUCAGGGAGGAAAUCCCUAGUGCUAAUAACACUGGGGGAUGACAGUACCUGAAGAAUAAGCACCGGCUAACUACGUGCCAGCAGCCGCGGUAA